UGGAAGACACCCUUAACCACUGAGCCAUCUCACUGACCCUUGGAAUUUGCUUUUAGUGUCAUGUAUGCCCAUGUGUCCGAAGUCCAGCUGAAAUGAGUAGGAAGAUGAGACUGGGUUGAAGGACACAGAGCAGAGGACAUUCUUCACUGACAUCUGUGGAGAAUAUUGGCUGGAUACAAAGUAUCAUGUGAAAUGAGCUAAUGGGAAAGGAUCAUGAAAUGUGCUAAAGGGGAAGGGCUAUAGCCUCUGGCAUGCAGGCUGGGGACCAAGCUGCUCAGCCUAAGUGAGUCUGGUGGCCCUGUGAAGGGGCUGUCACAGAGUCUGUUGACUGUCCUCUUGGUGGGUGACGAGGCUUUCUGUUUCCUAAGAUUCCUGGUACCCGAGUCCUGACGAUGCUGCCCCUGAGUGCCCACCAGCCAGGGCUGAGCUAAGCAGAGAGAAGGUCUUGAGAGCCUGGAAAGUGUCUGAGAGACCCCUCCCUUUUCCCCAUGGGGAGUGCUGAAGGGCUUGUCACAGGUGCACUGCAAUGAUGCUGAGGACCUUCCUGACUGAACUUCACCCAUGACCCUUGCUCCUGUCCACGCCCCAGGACCAUCGUCCAUAGAGGGUGGGCUAAUCAGAGCCAACCCUAAAUCAAUCCCAGACUUCCCUGGCCAGCCCUGAGUUAUGAGCUGUCGGCAUUGUGAUGUAGAUCACGGUUGGGGAGUAGGGGACAUGACCUAUGGCAGAUCACACUGGACCCCCAGAAGGGGCCAGAGUUGGGGUCAGAGGUCAUCUCCUCCAUUCUCUGCCCCACCCUGCUGGGUCCCGUCCCCGGCCUAAUAUUUAAACUGGGUGAGGCCAUUUUUGUACUGACCUGUGGCCCCAGCAGAAUCUGCCAUCAAGUCUACCUAUAGCCUGCUCUUGGGAAUAGCCUUCAGAAGAGAGAAAACAGAUGUGGUAAACAUGAAUUUGGUUGCUUGAUGGAGCCUGUGUUCCAAACCACACUCAGCUCCUUCCUCGGUACUUUGCCCAUAGAAUUGCUUCUACAGCCACCAAGUGUCCACUUCCCCAUCUGAUUGAAUCCCAUAUGCAGACAGACACACGAGAGCAUCCCAGGCCAGGAAGAGGAAGGGCGCAGCCAGAUCAGCACCAAGCCUCACCCAGAUGGAGUUCUCAGGCUUAGUAGAGGGUGGUUAGAUGGCUAGAGAGGUGGCGAGAGCCAGCCAGUGAGCGGCAUCAGAGAACUAGGAUAAACUGAAAGAGAAGACACUGAACUAACACUCUCUCUUUCUCUCUCAUGUUUUUUUACAGGGUGGGAGAAUCAGGGGAUCAAACCCAGGUUGUUACACAUAUUGAGCCUGGCUUUGGAAAGCAUUAGAGCUGAGACAGUGCUGGCAGCUGAAGAAAUGGCUUGGCAGUUAAGAGCACUUGCUGCCCUCUCAGAUAACCCAAGAUCUAAUCUCACCAUCCACACUGGCCUCUGUUAUUAGCAAAAAUGAAGCUGAAGAAAAAUUAGUAUGGACAGUAAGGUGAACUUUCGUCAGAACCAACAGUGAAAAGACAAAGAACAGUUUGUAACACUUUUGGACCUCCGGGCCACCAUACAGAAGCUCUAUGACCGUUGGUUGAAAUGAACAUGUAUCACCUGGGGUCUGACCAACACUUUCCUCCCACCAUCUCUGUGAUGGAGACAUACACAGGCAAGGCCAAGACCCAUGCUGGGAACCAAGAAAGGCAUGGAGCUGAGAAGGGCAUGGAGCCCGACAGAGUGCUGCUUUCCUCGGGGAGGAAACUUGGACAGGACACAGGACAUGGACGUGGCUGACAGAGGGGAACAGAAUCCUCACCAACCUCUCUGUGACAGACCUGGACCUCUGAGGCUCAGGGGCGCUGACUGUUCCUGCUCAUGGCUUCCCCCUAGCGGCUGGACAUGACCUGACAGAAACAGGAUGCUCACUGGAGGCAAGAGGUGACCUGCUCUGGACCACUGAAGAGAAUUACAAAGCAAAUGUCCUUUCACUAGCUUAGUGUCCUCGAAGCAUUUCCACACAGGCUGACGUUCCCUUGUCCUUCAGCGGCCACUUGCAUGCGCUCCUUUCUCUUCGGACCUAGGAGAAAUGGGCGGGGCUUUCUGUCUGCUGACCUGUUAACCCAAUUGGAUGCAGGUGGCAGAUGUCCAAGGUGAAGAAAAAGCCAAGGGCACGGUUAAUGUAGAGAGAGGAGCAAUGUAUUGUGGGGUUUUUUGUUUUGUCUUGUUUUGGUUUCGGUUUUGGUUUGAGACUGUCUUUGUGUAACCCUGACUGUUCUGGAGCUCGCUCCGCAGAACAGGCCACCCCCGAACUGCCUCUGUCUCCCAAGUGCUGGAAUUAAAGGCAUGUACCACCAC
Long non-coding RNA from Mus musculus (house mouse), 2368 nucleotides. RefSeq annotates it as predicted gene, 41402. The record is from RefSeq and is a predicted model, not a curated record. NCBI's taxonomy places the organism in Eukaryota, Metazoa, Chordata, Mammalia, Rodentia, Muridae. The transcript has 2 exons.